This 71-nucleotide transfer RNA is filed under the name Macaca fascicularis (crab-eating macaque). It matches the Rfam family "tRNA". Rfam says of the family: Transfer RNA (tRNA) molecules are approximately 80 nucleotides in length. Their secondary structure includes four short double-helical elements and three loops (D, anti-codon, and T loops). The record is from Rfam by way of RNAcentral. Lineage: Eukaryota; Metazoa; Chordata; Mammalia; Primates; Cercopithecidae. RNAcentral also lists the same sequence under 2 other names.
GUUAAUGUAGCUUAAUUAUUUAAAGCAAGGAACUGAAAAUGCCUAGAUGGGUCAGCACAACCCCAUAAACA